ACCUAAGGUAGAGGCGCCAGUAAUAAAGAGUACUCAUCAUGAGUUGGCAAACGGUGAUUGAUGAGAAAAGGUAUUAUGGCCGAAGAUUUGAAUUAUGCAAAGAUUUAUUUCUGGUUAUGCAUAGAAUAUAUGUAUAACUGUCACGAAAGUGGAGAGCUACAAGGAUU
Molecule: regulatory RNA element, 167 nt
Organism: Clostridium chromiireducens
Lineage: Bacteria; Bacillati; Bacillota; Clostridia; Eubacteriales; Clostridiaceae
Rfam family: Lysine riboswitch aptamer
About the family: Riboswitches are metabolite binding domains within certain messenger RNAs that serve as precision sensors for their corresponding targets.
Source: Rfam